UUCCCCUUCGGGGGCAGAGUGACAGGUGGUGCAUGGUUGUCGUCAGCUCGUGUCGUGAGAUGUUGGGUUAAGUCCCGCAACGAGCGCAACCCUUGAUCUUAGUUGCCAGCAUUCAGUUGGGCACUCUAAGGUGACUGCCGGUGACAAACCGGAGGAAGGUGGGGAUGACGUCAAAUCAUCAUGCCCCUUAUGACCUGGGCUACACACGUGCUACAAUGGGCAGAACAAAGGGCAGCGAAGCCGCGAGGCUAAGCCAAUCCCACAAAUCUGUUCUCAGUUCGGAUCGCAGUCUGCAACUCGACUGCGUGAAGCUGGAAUCGCUAGUAAUCGCGGAUCAGCAUGCCGCGGUGAAUACGUUCCCGGGCCUUGUACACACCGCCCGUCACACCACGAGAGUUUGUAAC
Molecule: ribosomal RNA, 404 nt
Filed under: Bacillus sonorensis
Lineage: Bacteria; Bacillati; Bacillota; Bacilli; Caryophanales; Bacillaceae
Description: bacterial SSU rRNA
Rfam family: Bacterial small subunit ribosomal RNA
Source: RNAcentral